Musa acuminata AAA Group (dessert banana) is the source of this 2769-nucleotide RNA transcript. It is a transcript of the gene named eukaryotic translation initiation factor 5A-2-like, with no coding region annotated. The transcript has 7 exons. The record is from RefSeq and is a predicted model, not a curated record. NCBI's taxonomy places the organism in Eukaryota, Viridiplantae, Streptophyta, Magnoliopsida, Zingiberales, Musaceae.
GCUGCCUGUUUUUGCCAUCCCGAGGAAGGAAUCGAACUCAUGGCAGCAACGGUGAAAUCCCGCGAGUUCGACGUAAUCAUCCUUGGAGCCUCCGGAUUCACCGGCAAAUACGUCGUCCGCGAGGCCCUCAAGUUCCUCUCCUCCGCCUCGGGCCCCCUCAGGUCCCUCGCCCUCGCCGGCCGCUCCCCCUCCAAGCUGGCCGCAGCCCUUCAAUGGGCCGCCGCCGCAUCCCCCCCUCCGCCCCUCUCCCUCAUCUCCGCCGACGUUUUCGACCCUACCUCCCUUCUCGCUCUAUGUCGCAGCACCAGGAUCAUCCUCAACUGCGUCGGCCCUUUCCACUUCUACGGCGAUCCCGUCGUCGCCGCCUGCGUCGAGGCCGGAACCGACUACCUCGAUAUCACAGGUGAGCCCGAGUUCAUCGAGAGGACGGAGACCAGGUACCACGAGCGGGCCGAAAAGGCGGGAUCUUUGGUGGUUUCGGCUUGCGGGUUCGACUCGGUUCUGGCGGAGCUGGGGCUCAUGUUCCAUUCCCGGCAGUGGGUGCCUCCGGCGGUGCCGAACCGGGUGGAAGCGUAUUUGAGCGUGGAGUCGGAAAGGAGCAUCGUGUUGAACAUCGGAACGUACGAGUCGGCGGUUGUCGGCAUGGCAAACGUGGGUCGGUUGCUGGAUCUCAGGAGGUCGAGGCCGAAGAGUGCUCGGCCUGUGAUUGUAGGCCCCCCACCUGCCAAAGGACCAUUGAUCGAACAUAAUAAGACACUCGGGCUCUGGGCAAUAAAGCUACCUUCCGUUGAUGCUGCAGUUGUUCGAAGAACACAUGCAAUACUAGCAGAGCAUCCUCAUGGCCUUGCAGGCGUCAACGAAAGUGAUGAGUGUGCAGAGAAGAGGAAGUUGUACUGGUCAACAGUGAAGCCUAUCCAUUUUAGUGUGAAGAUUUGUGCCAAAUCUAUACUGGGCAUUUUGCGGCUCGUAGUAACUGGAUUGUUCCUUGGGCUCUUUGGAAUGUUUGCACUUGGGAGAUCAAUUCUGUUGAAAUUUCCAUCAGUUUUUUCUCUUGGGUGGUUUAGAAAGACUGGACCUACGGAGGAAGAGGUCAGAAGUGCUUCUUUCAUUAUGUGGUUCAUCGGGCAUGGCUAUAGCGACGGCAACCUGGCUUCGCAAAGAGGUCGGAAACCAGACACAGUGGUAAUUACCAGGGUAUCUGGCCCUGAGGUGGGAUAUGUGACUACUCCAAUCAUCCUACUUCAAUGUGCUCUUGUUGUAUUGAGCGACCGUGACAGCUUACCAAAAGGUGGUGUUCUUCCACCCGGAAUAGUCUUCAGCCACACCAAUCUUCAACGGCGCCUCGAAGAAAAUGGAAUUUUUUUCGAUGUCAUCUCUGUGAAGCCUUCUUCACUGCAUCGAUUUCUCCGUUCCAGUUCUCGCAAACAAAUGGAAGUAGUUUUGCUUUCUUUCUAGCCUGAGAUCUGUAUUCUUCCAAGAUUUAUAAGAUACUGCUUUGCAUCCAAACUUAGUUUUUUGAGAUCGACUUUGCGGAAAAAUAAUGAGAAUCUUUGCUAUUCUCAACAAGUAUUGUGCUAUUAUGAAAUUAGUAGGGAAAUUUGCAAUUUGUUCUAUUGCUCUAGUAUGAAUUUGCAACUGAAUUUGCAAUUUGUUUGUUGCUACAGCAAGGAGAUGAAUGCCUGAAAAGAAAAAGAACAAAAAUAGAUCUGCAACUGGACUUCACUCGAUGGUUUGCCGAAGCCUAAUCUAUUUGCUUAAUGAGAACGAGAUAUUUUUUGGCAUCACUGCAAAACUCGAGGCUCUCAUUCCUCGCGUCUUCGACUCCAAUAUGUUCAAACGCAUAAAUAUGGCAGGCUUAAAUCCCGCCCUUCGUAAAAGCUCAUCCGCAUCUGACGGCUGGAUCUGCUGCGGACGCGACGCGAGGAUAGGGGCGAAUUUAAUCGAAACCCUAGGCCGCUGCUGGAAUCCGGGCGGUCCUCCCUUUCGAGGCGUGCCGCUAUUUAAGCCCUUCCGCUGCCCCUCGCCGCCACCUCCGCCACCACCGCUUCCCCGGCUUCUUCCCUGACGAUCGAUACGGCAUGUCGGACGAGGAACAUCAUUUCGAGUCGAAGGCCGACGCUGGGGCUUCCAAGACCUAUCCGCAGCAGGCCGGAACUAUCCGUAAGAAUGGGUACAUCGUCAUAAAGGCGAGGCCGUGCAAGGACUUCUGGGGAUCCUUCUCAGAGGAGUUGAGGUCUCAUUAGGGCUAAUGGUUUCAUGCAAGUUUCACUGUUUACAAGGAAGCCUUGUUUUGAGAGUCAACGCAUAGUAUACGAUUCCAAAGCUUUGCAUUUGGAUCCGGUCCUGUAAAUGAAGAUCACUGAAUGACAAACGUUGAUUGCUUCAGCUACUUGUGCAGUAAGCAGUAGCAUAAUAUGUUCUAUUGCAAUAUUUCUUAGAAAUAUUUCUUGAACACAUCUUGAAUCAGCCAAUCUUUUUUCCUGUAUUUCAUCUAAUAUUUUUUAUCAUGUUCUUUAGUGUGAAAAUAAUAGAAUAGUAGAAAUGUUCUGGGACGUCUUUUAGUGGGGUUAUCGCCCUGGCUUGGAGGUGCAAAAACAGCCCAUCUGUGUGUCUUCUGUUGUAGAAGUUUCAACCUCCAAAACUGGAAAGCAUGGCCAUGCAAAAUGCCACUUUGUUGCCAUUGAUAUAUUCAAUGGCAAGAAGCUUGAAGAUAUUGUUCCGUCAUCUCACAACUGUGAUGUUCCCCAUGUCACACGUACCGACUAUCAA